AGUGAACGCUGGCGGUAGGCCUAACACAUGCAAGUCGAACGGCAGCACAGCAGUAGCAAUACUGUGGGUGGCGAGUGGCGGACGGGUGAGGAAUACAUCGGAAUCUACCUUUUCGUGGGGGAUAACGUAGGGAAACUUACGCUAAUACCGCAUACGACCUUAGGGUGAAAGCGGAGGACCUUCGGGCUUCGCGCGGAUAGAUGAGCCGAUGUCGGAUUAGCUAGUUGGCGGGGUAAAGGGACCCACCAAGGCUACGAUCCGUAGCUGGUCUGAGAGGAUGAUCAGCCACACUGGAACUGAGACACGGUCCAGACUCCUACGGGAGGCAGCAGUGGGGAAUCUUGCGCAAUGCGCGAAAGACGUGACGCAGCAACGCCGCGUGGGGGAAGACGGCCUCGGUUGUAACCCGUUACUAC
RNAcentral lists this ribosomal RNA (416 nucleotides) under uncultured bacterium. Its description in RNAcentral is "bacterial SSU rRNA". It matches the Rfam family "Bacterial small subunit ribosomal RNA", at positions 29 to 439 of the family's 1533-position model. The record is from RNAcentral.